UAAAAACUUGACUGGGGAUAAUCUUUGACUCUGUAGCCUAGCUUGCCACAUCCAAAAUAGAUAUUGCUGCCAGUUCUGCAAAUAUCCUGAUAGUUUUUACUGCAAGUCUAACAAAGGAGAUGGGUUCGGGCACUGCUAACACUGCCUUGAGGUUUAGGCCUAGAGCCCUAUCCCUGUUGCUGUCUCUAAAUUUUGGCACUAGAGCACUGGCUGAAGAAGA
This 220-nucleotide long non-coding RNA is filed under the name Capsicum annuum. RNAcentral's name for it is "long non-coding RNA (CANN_LNC001077)". The record is from RNAcentral. Lineage: Eukaryota; Viridiplantae; Streptophyta; Magnoliopsida; Solanales; Solanaceae.